AGAUAUUUCCCUAUCUUAUUUGCGGACUCAAAGUUCUUUUGAUUCAUCCUUUUAAUUUUCCACUCUAUCUCUUGGUUAAUUAUUGUAGCAAAUUUAGCUUGUAGUAUUUUUAAGUUCUGUUUUAAACUCUCUUCACUAGGGUUAACAGUUAAUUUUCUUUCAUUUUCCAUAAUCUGUAUUAAAAUCUGCUCUUUCUUUUUUUCUUUUUCUUUUCUUAAUUGGGUAUUUUUCUGAAUCAAAAAACCCCUCAUGACCGCUUUUCCUGCGUCCCACACCAUCUCUAUGGAAGUUUCUCCAUUUAAAUUCCACCUAAAGUAUUCUUCAAUUGUUUCUAUAGCCUUAUUUACUAUCCUUUGAUCAUUGAAUAAAUAUUCAUUCAUUCUCCAUCUGGCUGUUUUAACCUCUCUACCUUUUAACUCCAUGGAAACCGCACUAUGAUCAGAUAAAGUUCGAGGCCAAAUUUCAGACUUAAUUAAAUUCUGUACCAAUUCCCUCGAGACCCAAAUACUGUCUAUCCUCCCCCAGCUCUGAUUCGGAUUUGAAAAAAAGUGAAUUGUUUUGCAGUAGGGUUUUUAAACCUCCAAACAUCCGUCAAUCCCAAAUUAUUUACCAUGUCGAAGAAAGAUCGUGGUAGUUUACCUUCUUUCCCAUCUUGUCUUUUUGUUAAUCUAUCCAUAUUCGGCGUCACCACCCCAUUAAAAUCUCCCAUCAAUAUCAUUUUCUGGUCCAUCCAUUCCAUUAGUAUAUUAUCUAAUUCCAAAAGAAAGCUGAUUUUUUCUCAUUCGGGCGUAUAUUCCAACCACAACUAUUUUUCUCCAUGAAACACCAUCUGUACCACCACUACUCUCCCAUGUUCAUCUUUAUACAGUAGUUGCGGGUCAUAUUUUUCCUUUAUAUAAAUUACUACCCCUCUUUUCUUAACCUUGUCGGAGGUCACAAAGUCCAAUCCCAAUCUCUUAUUACUUAAUACUCUCUUGUGUUUUCCUAUAACAUGCGUUUCUUGAAGACAAAUUAAAUCCCAAUUCUUUUUCAACAAUACAUGUGCAAUCUGAUUCCUCUUAUUUUUAUUGUUCAAACCAUUGACAUUCCAGCUUAUUGUUUUUAAAGCCAUCUAUUAAACUAUUCUAGCUAAUUUAACUAGAUUAAAUAGAGACUACUGUUCCUUGCUUUCCUCCUCUUGUUCUUCUCCUUCUCCUGUUAAGCUCUCCUCUUUUUCUUCUUCUUCACUCCCUUCACCCUCCUCGUCUCUCUGUCGUUCCUCCCUUUCCACCUCCCCUUCAACUUUUCCCAGGUCCUUCUCGUAUCUCCUCGCAAAUUUUUGGAGUUCAAAACUGGUGCUUAAUUUAAACCUUUUUUCCUUAAAGUAGAAUGAAAUGCCUUCGGGAAACUCCCAUCUAUACAAUAUCCCAUUCUUCUUCAAUUGGUUUGUUAAUUUUUUGUAUGGCUCUCUCCUUCGAAGAAAUCUCGAAGGAAUUUCUCUAAAGAUAAUAAUUGGGCUUCCUCCAAUAUAUAACCUUUUUAUGUGGUUCUGUUGCAGUAUUUCAUUUCUUAUUUCCAAAGUGUUGAACAUGACAAUUACAUCACCUGGCAGCUUUUUCUUUCUGGCUCUGUCUGAUUUUGGUCUUAUUCGAAAAAUAUUUACUAAAUGGCAGUUUACCUCCUCCUCGCUCUUAUUUAACCAAGUUGCCAGCUCUUUUAUCAUUUUAGAUCUAAUAUUCUCAUUUGGGGUCUCUGGUACACCCCUCAGUUUUAGGUUGGUUUGAUUUUGCCUCAUUUGCGUCAUAGCCAUAUUGUCCAACAACUCCUCCUGCACUCUUUCUAUCUCUUUAACUUCUACUCUAAUUCUAUCCACCUCCUUCUUACUAAUUUUCGUAUCUUUUUGCACCUUUUUCAUUGAAUCUUCCAAAACCUUAGUUCUUACUGAUAAAUCUUUAACCUUUCCUGUCAAUUCCCCCACCACUCCCUCCAAUUUCUUAUCCAAAGUGUCCUGUACCUCAAGUAAUUUUCUCUCAAUAUAUUGUUCAUUAUUUUUGAAUUCUUUCCUUAUUUCGGCCAUCAGACUGCUAUAGUCUUUAAUUUCUUUACUUUCCUUAGCAUCUUCUUGCCUCGACGACCUCCUUUCCGCUGGUGUUGCCACGCCUUUUUUUGCACCGUUUGUCAUUUUGUAGGCUUGAAAGGUCUUGGGGUCCACCACACUAAUGUUAUUCAAAAAGGGAUGAGGCACAGGAUCACCGAUAAUCUCUGAUGGGUUAAUAAGUUACCGGGUCUGGUGUUGGGGUAUAAUAGCAGAUAUUAGGCAUCACACAUCAGGCUAUACACAAAGUUUUACAAUCUUUACCUUUUACAGUCUUUGUCCUCUUAGAGGGUGGUAUUAUAGAGGUCUGGCGUCACCAAAAAUUUUUCUUUACUGGAGACUUGGCAGUUCUUCAGGAAGUGUUCUUUAUGCUGGUUUAAAUUCUCCUAUUUGGCUUUUGGCGCAUGUCCCUUUAAAUCUCAAAUACAUGCAGAGGCGUAGUAGAUCAAGGACAAGAUGGAAUGGCGGAUAGCAAAGCCAAGUUAGGUCUCGAAAUGGCUUCCUCCUCCCUUUUUAUACCCAUGGGGAAGUCACUAACAUAAAACCAACAUUAAGGUCUGGGAAGACCCAUGCUUUCUUCCACCCACUUCAAACAAAAAGUUGAUGUUAACAAUAACGUCCUCAAAAAACCUGUCAGUUAAAGCAUCAACCAAAUGCCCCAGAAACCUCCUUUCCUCCUCUCAAACCCGGUAAAGAGUCUCUCUAUCAAAAGAAGAAAACUCAGUAUUACCUUGCUUCCAACUCUUUGUACUUUGUACUUUGUAAAAUGUACUUUAUUAUCGAGGAUAUUCCUUCCCCUCGCUAGCGGUUACUUUCUUGCUCUUUCAUUCACGUCUGCCAGCUUUUCGCUUUACUCCUUUAUCAUUCUUACCGCCAGUAGUGAAUUCCUCCUUCCUUUGUCUUUAAUUACUUCUCCGCUGGGUACUUCAUUCAACUUCAUUCAACGUUCCUUUUGUUUUUACUUUGAUUGUUUUCCAGUGUUCUCCCUCCUCUGCUUUCAUCAAAGCUUUAGAACUAUUUCCCAGCUUUUCCUCUGUUGUUGGAGGUCCGCCGCUUUCACUCGGAGCCUGAGGCUUCACAGCAUGGAGUCUGAUUUUUCCCCUUCUCGCUGCGGCUCCAGCCUUGUUAAACGCCGGCAACACAGGCGAGCACACGCAGCCUUGCUGGGUGUUUUGACCAACAGGAUAUUCCACCUGUGGUUUAGGGGUUCACGGAGCCUUCGUGACCCCUCUAAGACCCCCACGCUGUUCGAGGCUCCUCAGACGAGUUGCCUCGCGCUCCUUCCCGUGGCCGCGGCGUCCCGGAAGC
Podarcis lilfordi (Lilford's wall lizard) is the source of this 3382-nucleotide non-coding RNA. Lineage: Eukaryota; Metazoa; Chordata; Lepidosauria; Squamata; Lacertidae. The record is from the annotation of a GenBank genome assembly.